This 460-nucleotide ribosomal RNA is filed under the name uncultured bacterium. RNAcentral describes it as "partial 16S ribosomal RNA". It matches the Rfam family "Bacterial small subunit ribosomal RNA", at positions 338 to 795 of the family's 1533-position model. The record is from RNAcentral.
CCUACGGGUGGCAGCAGUGAGGAAUAUUGGUCAAUGGACGAGAGUCUGAACCAGCCAAGUAGCGUGAAGGAUGACUGCCCUAUGGGUUGUAAACUUCUUUUAUAAAGGAAUAAAACGAGGCACGUGUGCCUUUUUGCAUGUACUUUAUGAAUAAGGAUCGGCUAACUCCGUGCCAGCAGCCGCGGUAAUACGGAGGAUCCGAGCGUUAUCCGGAUUUAUUGGGUUUAAAGGGAGCGUAGAUGGGUUGUUAAGUCAGUUGUGAAAGUUUGCGGCUCAACCGUAAAAUUGCAAUUGAUACUGGCAGUCGUGAGUACAGUUGAGGUAGGCGGAAUUCGUGGUGUAGCGGUGAAAUGCUUAGAUAUAACGAAGAACCCCGAUUGCGAAGGCAGCUUACUAAACUGUGACUGACAUUGAUGCUCGAAAGUGUGGGUAUCAAACAGGAUUAGAUACCCCAGUAGUC